AAACCAACAGGGAUUGCCUUAGUAGCGGCGAGUGAAGCGGCAAGAGCUCAAAUUUGAAAUCUGGUACCUUCGGUAUCCGAGUUGUAAUUUGUAGAAAGCAAUCUUGGACUUGGCCUUUGUCUAUGUUCCUUGGAACAGGACGUCAUAGAGGGUGAGAAUCCCGUGCGACGAGGUGUCCAUUUCCUUAAGAUGUUUUCGAAGAGUCGAGUUGUUUGGGAAUGCAGCUCAAAGUGGGUGGUAAAUUCCAUCUAAAGCUAAAUAUUGGCGAGAGACCGAUAGCGAACAAGUACUGUGAAGGAAAGAUGAAAAGAACUUUGAAAAGAGAGUGAAAAAGUACGUGAAAUUGUUGAAAGGGAAGGGUAUUCGAUCAGACUUGGUAUUUAGUUAUCUGUUCCUUUCGGGGGGCAGCUCUAGAUUUUUACUGGGCCAGCAUCAGUUUUGGUGGCAAGAUAAUCGCAGUUGAAUGUGGCUCCUCGGAGUGUUAUAGCUUCUGUUGAUAUUGCCUACUGGGACUGAGGUCUGCGGCUUUUGCCUAGGAUGCUGGCGUAAUGAUCUAAUACCGC
RNAcentral lists this ribosomal RNA (563 nucleotides) under Ogataea maris. Its description in RNAcentral is "eukaryotic LSU rRNA". It matches the Rfam family "Eukaryotic large subunit ribosomal RNA", at positions 62 to 648 of the family's 3401-position model. Lineage: Eukaryota; Fungi; Ascomycota; Pichiomycetes; Pichiales; Pichiaceae. The record is from RNAcentral.